GACGAACGCUGGCGGCGCGCUUAACACAUGCAAGUCGAACGGAAAGGCCUGCUUUCCCUUGUGGAUUGCGGGUACUCGAGUGGCGAACGGGUGAAUAACACGUGAGUGAUCUGCCCCCAACUUGGGUAUAAGCCUGGGAAACUGGGUCUAAUUCCCGAUAGGACUGCAGGGUGGUGCCUGUGGUGGAAAACGAUUUUCUAGUGGUUGGGGAUGAGCUCGCGGCCUAUCAGCUUGUUGGUGGGGUAAUGGCCUACCAAGGCGGCGACGGGUAGCCGGCCUGAGAGGGUGGACGGCCACAUUGGGACUGAGAUACGGCCCAGACUCCUAUGGGAGGCAGCAGUGGGGAAUAUUGCACAAUGGGCGGAAGCCUGAUGCAGCGACGCCGCGUGGGGGAUGACGGCCUUCGGGUUGUAAACUCCUUUCGACCGCGAGGAAGCCACCUGGUUGGAAGGGUGGUGACGGUAGUGGUAGAAGAAGCACCGGCUAACUACGUG
RNAcentral lists this ribosomal RNA (494 nucleotides) under uncultured bacterium. RNAcentral's name for it is "partial 16S ribosomal RNA". It matches the Rfam family "Bacterial small subunit ribosomal RNA", at positions 28 to 507 of the family's 1533-position model. The record is from RNAcentral.